UGGGAGAGGAGUUAUAAGAGGAAGAGUAUGAUAUAAGCAAGUAUCAUAUCGUAGAGCACCUAGCACCAGCGAGGCAGAGCAAGAGCUUGACAGAAGCUCACAUGAAGAUUGGCAUGCUUCAGAGUCGGAGCAAGAAACAAGACAAGCUUCUCUCCAAGUGUUGGAAGACCAUCAAGACUUUAAAGUCAAUCAUAAGGUAUUCAUCUUCCAACACCGAUGGGCCA
Molecule: microRNA precursor, 224 nt
Filed under: Arabidopsis lyrata subsp. lyrata
Lineage: Eukaryota; Viridiplantae; Streptophyta; Magnoliopsida; Brassicales; Brassicaceae
Description: pre miRNA MIR854
Rfam family: MIR854 microRNA precursor family
Source: Rfam by way of RNAcentral